This is a long non-coding RNA of Mytilus californianus (California mussel), 2801 nucleotides long. RefSeq lists it as uncharacterized. The transcript has 4 exons. The record is from RefSeq and is a predicted model, not a curated record. Lineage: Eukaryota; Metazoa; Mollusca; Bivalvia; Mytilida; Mytilidae.
CUUGCAAUGGAAAUGUAUGUGAUAACUCCUUAAAGAGAUGGAUCGGAGGUCCGUCCUAUGAUAUCCUGUGCUACAAUAAUUUUUCUACAAAUCCUUCUAAAUAUGAAAUGAUUUCUGAAGAUUCUGGUCGGAGUUUUGGUCUUCGGAUUAAAAAUUUCACCUUUGAUGACGUCAACUGUAAAUAUACCUGCGCUUGUGGAUUGCAUCAGUAUACAAACAGUCUAGAUGUGGAACAUUUUAAUUAUACAUAUCCACCACGUGUUGUUGAAAAUUCCAAUUUUCAAACGGCAGAAGAAUAUGUUGUUGACGUUGUUAUAGAAGUCAAUCCAUUACCAACUUCAUGUUUCAUUCAGUACCAGGAUCGUGUCAUACAAGUGAAUCUCACCAGCAAUUCAAGCACACUUUCCACGUUUGAUGAACGAAGAUUCGGAAGGAACAAAGUUUUCAAAGAAAGUAUUAACUUAAAGCAUACAUUACAGAAAACUAAGCCAAAUAACUGUGACGGAAUUCUAAUUGUUACUUGUGAAGUUGAUUCUCGAAAUUAUGCAGUAUAUCAUCAGAAUGUUUCCACGUGCAAAGACCACAUUGUUAUCAACAAAACCACCAUAAAAGGACACCAUAUUGCAAUGGUUGUCAUAAUUAUUGUGUUGCUUAUUUUGAUCGUAAUGGUACUGGUGUGGAAUACCGUAAAGCAUCGUAAACCACGUGAAAUGUCUUGUUUGGACGAUAAAAGUAAUUUAAAGUGCAUAUGGACGAAACAGGCUGAGAACAAUAACGAACCACUGCCAGUAGUCAAUGAACCUCUUAUACUGUCAUAGUGGAUUCGAAAGGAAAAGUGAAAAUAUCUCUUCAAAUCAAAUGCUUGAGAAGAAAAUUCAGUAUCAACGACAUUCACCGAACAACGAUAUUAUACUUUAUAUUAUUGCGACUUAUUAUUUUGGUCGAUCAAAACAGCAUUAAGGUUGCCGGCUUAGCAUUAUAUUUGUGAUAAUAAGUGUUGUGAAAUCUGAUGUUCAGCUAAAUGAGUAAUAGCACAUUUUUAGAAAACUAUUUUGUUAUGAUAUUAUGUUAAUGGUGUUUAUAAAGACUCUGAAAUUUGCCUGUAAGAAAACAUUAAUUGAUAUGGUGAAAGUUACAAACUAAGUAAACUAAUCAAUAACGAAUCACCUUAUGUGUAGUGUGUCUCAUUGGUGAAAUAUGUAAUACAGCUUGUAUACUAUUAAGAGUUGAUAAAAUUGUAACAUUGAAAAUGAAACAGGGAAAAUAGUCUACAUUAGAUUGAUAAUGGAAAUGGGAAAUAUGUCAAAAGAAACAACAACCAAACCAAAGAACAGAAAUAGCCGAAGGCCAGUGAUGAGUCUUCAACACAAGGAGAAAAUCCCUCACCCGGAGUCACGCCUCAGCUGGCCCCUGAACAAAAAUGUGUACUAGUUCAGAGAAAAUGGACGUCGUACUAACCAUAUAAAUGAAUUAAAAAAAACAUAAAAGACUAACAAAGGUCAGAGGCUCCCGACUUGGGACAGGCGCAAAAAUGCGGCGCGGUUUAACAUGUUUUUUUUUAGAUCUCACCUCCCCCCUGUACCUCUAGUCAAUGUAGAAUAAAUACAUUCACAACAAUACGCAUAUGUAUUCCCAUUUUCGUAAAAAUCUUCUGUGUGUAUAUAUUUGUGUUUGAAAUAGUUAAGAAACUCUUAUACAAUGUUACAAAUGGUUUCAAAAGCGAUGUACAGAUGAAAUAAGUGUAUUUUUUUAUCCUUUUAUACAACAUGUAUUGACUCAAAAGCACAGAAGCUUUUCUUUUGAGGGCAACGAUACAGAUUGUAAACAAUUAUUAGUUACUGUAUAUUUUUGAUAAACUUGCCAGUAUCCGAUGAAAUUACUAUGCGUAUCAAUACUCUCCAAUUUUUUAUGUUCUUAUCUUGGUUUAUGUGCAGAUGUAACGAAACAUCUUUCCUUUCUUUAUUGACUUCAACAGUAUUGAUACGCAUACAGCUUUUUAUAUUUGUAACAACUAAAUAUGUGUUCUUAAUUAGUUUGGUACUUUAAAAAGUACUUUUUAUCAUAACAUUUUUAAUCUCCCUUGUGUUCACUGAGUAUCGAUACUCUUUAAUAUAGUUCCGCAAACUUCAGAGAAACGUUCCUCUAAAAAUAUAAGUGUUCUACCCACACAGUACUUAUUGUACACGGCUUCCAUUGAAGUAGCAAUAGUCUUUUCCAUCACAAGAGUAUCGGUACAUUUCAAGUUUAAAGGGAGUGAAGUUGUACCUUUAAUAAUUAAACACUUGUUAAUAAUAAGGAGAACAAUUUUUUUUUAAAACGUAAAUAAAGUAAGAGAGAAAAGCAUUUUUAAUUUGUUAAUAUCAAUAAGAGUCAGACUCUGGCGCGGGUUAACUUGCCACAUUUAUUAAACUUAAAAAAUUAAGUAAUUUGGAUCUUAAACAAUAUAUUGAUAUAUCUACCGAGUCCAGGGUUAGUGAUCAUCAUCUUCAAAAGGAGAAUUGGCGUUAAGUUAAAAACUAAAAUAAGAUUUCCGUAUGCUUUAAUAGAACAUUAUUUAAAAUUGAAGAUGAAUAUCCCUUUAUGAUUGAAACCCACUUUUCCUGAAGUGUGCCAAAAGAUCAAAUAGGUCAGUUUUGCCAAAAAAUCAAAUAGGUCAGUUAUGCCAAAAAAUCUCUAUUAUUUAACAACUUGCAGUUGAAUAGUGAGGAUCAAACCAUGUUUUGUAUGUGUUCAUAUUUAAUGAUAAAUAAAUUUGGAAUACGAAAAAAAUAUAUUCACUGUUGUAUGAUUUUUUUUUUGUA